ACCUGCCAGCACCUCCCUGCAG
Molecule: microRNA, 22 nt
Filed under: Homo sapiens (human)
Lineage: Eukaryota; Metazoa; Chordata; Mammalia; Primates; Hominidae
Description: hsa-miR-4722-3p
Source: miRBase by way of RNAcentral